Long non-coding RNA from Neofelis nebulosa (Clouded leopard), 1314 nucleotides. RefSeq lists it as uncharacterized. The record is from RefSeq and is a predicted model, not a curated record. NCBI's taxonomy places the organism in Eukaryota, Metazoa, Chordata, Mammalia, Carnivora, Felidae. The transcript is spliced from 2 exons.
AUAAACAUUAAAAAAAAUUUUUUUAAGGAAAAGAAAAUUUUUUAAAUAUCGCUUACCUUCUGAUCUCACAAUUCUAUUUCAAGAAAACUACAAUAUGGAAAUAAUGGGGCAAGUGCACAUAUAUUUAUGUGUAAGUAUUAAGCAUUAUUUAUAAUAGCAUAUAGGAAAACAAAAAUUAAAUUUCCAUCUGUGGAGCAUCGGAAAAACUGUUUUAAAGCACAUCCAUAAAAUGGAAUACUAUAUAGCCAUUAAAAAAUAAUGAACUAAAUAAAACAGCACCAGAGCUCUAGGAAGAGAGUUUCUGAGAGAAGUCCUAUAUUGGAAGGAUAAAGUUUAAAUUGUUUAAGCUUCCAGAUAGAAAAGAAAAUAGCAGCAAUGAAAGAAAAAUCAGCGUUGUCACUGGACUUGUCACCAGGAACACCAAUUAACGUUAUGUUUCCGCAAAAGAUCAGCACAAAUGUGGCUUCAGACUGCUAAACUGGCUCUGGCUCUCUGCUAUGUAACAAAACACAAAACUACAGAUCCACUUAGUCAAUCAGCCAGAGAGCUAAGGAAAUGUGAAUAAAUAAUCAGAUAAAAUGAAGGGUAAUCUUAAGCAUGACUGAAAGCGUCAUCAUUCAAGAUUUCAUCUCUAGCUAUGACUGCCACCUACUGGGCUAAAACAAAAAUCUUCAUCAAUACAAUCAGGACAAACCAUUUUGAGUAAAAUAUGAAAAAAGAGCAAGGAAGAUAAAUAUUAUGAUAUGCAUCAAUUUUCAGGGGGCCUUCUGUUUAUACCAUUAGCAAAGACUCAGUUGUUUUUUUUUUAAUUAGUGAUUUAUGCCAUACUGACAAUUUCAACUAAAAGAACACUGUCUCACCUCUGAAGUUCCUGUGGAUGACAUUCCCCCAGGGUCUCUACACCACUGUAUGAACAUCACAAUGACAGUAUGCAAGAGCUACUAUAUGAGUUCCUAUGUCAAUCUUCCCUCUGUCUUAGGUGAGCUCACAAACAGAAACCUUAUUCACUUGGACAUCUGUUGUAUCAGUGAAUGUGCUGAAUCAAACAAUUCAUGAAAAGAAGCUUGAAGACAACGUAUCUUAAUUAACUGUUGUCUAUUUUAUAAACAUAAAUCGUACCUUCAACAGAAUUCUCAACCCAAGUAGUUUUGCCUCCUGGGGGAACAUUUGGUAAUACCUGGGUACAUUUUUAGUCGUCGCGCUGUAAGGAAAGGUAUGGCAGUGACAUCUAAAGCAGCCAGGGAUUCUACAAAACUUCUACAAUACAGAAUAACAAUCCUAACACCAAAAAAAAAAAGAUCACCCAGCUCCAAA